UACGUAGGGUGCAAGCGUUGUCCGGAAUUAUUGGGCGUAAAGAGCUUGUAGGCGGUUUGUCGCGUCUGCUGUGAAAUUUCGGGGCUCAACCCCGAACUUGCAGUGGGUACGGGCAGACUAGAGUGUGGUAGGGGAGACUGGAAUUCCUGGUGUAGCGGUGAAAUGCGCAGAUAUCAGGAGGAACACCGAUGGCGAAGGCAGGUCUCUGGGCCACUACUGACGCUGAGGCGCGAAAGCCAGGGGAGCGAACGGG
Molecule: ribosomal RNA, 253 nt
Filed under: uncultured bacterium
Lineage: Bacteria
Description: partial 16S ribosomal RNA
Rfam family: Bacterial small subunit ribosomal RNA
Source: RNAcentral